Molecule: ribosomal RNA, 657 nt
Filed under: uncultured marine group I thaumarchaeote
Lineage: Archaea; Thermoproteati; Nitrososphaerota
Description: bacterial SSU rRNA
Rfam family: Archaeal small subunit ribosomal RNA
Source: RNAcentral
UUCUGGUUGAUCCUGCCGGACCUGACUGCUAUCGGAUUGAUACUAAGCCAUGCAAGUCUUUGUAGUAAUACAAGGCAUACGGCUCAGUAACGCGUAGUCAACCUACCCUAUGGAUGGGGAUAAUCUCGGGAAACUGAGCAUAAUACCCAACAGAUCAUCAAUUCUGGAAUGGUUGAUGAUUCAAAUGAUUUUUCGCCAUAGGAUGGGACUGCGGCCUAUCAGCUUGUUGGUGAGGUAAUGGCCCACCAAGGCAAUUACAGGUACGGGCUCUGAGAGGAGAAGCCCGGAGAUGGGUACUGAGACAAGGACCCAGGCCCUAUGGGGCGCAGCAGGUGAGAAAACUUUGCAAUGUGCGAAAGCACGACAAGGUUAAUCCGAGUGAUUUCUGCUAAAGGAAUCUUUUACCAGUUCUAAAAAUACUGGCGAAUAAGGGGUGGGCAAGUUCUGGUGUCAGCCGCCGCGGUAAAACCAGCACCUCAAGUGGUCAGGAGGAUUAUUGGGCCUAAAGCAUCCGUAGCCGGCUCUGUAAGUUUUCGGUUAAAUCUAUAUGCUCAACGUAUAGGCUGCCGAAAAUACUGCACAGCUAGGGAAUGGGAGAGGUAGACGGUACUCGGUAGGAAGGGGUAAAAUCCUUUGAUCUAUCGAUGACCACCUGUG